RNAcentral lists this non-coding RNA (46 nucleotides) under Schistosoma margrebowiei. Lineage: Eukaryota; Metazoa; Platyhelminthes; Trematoda; Strigeidida; Schistosomatidae. The record is from RNAcentral.
GCACUGCUGAGGAGUCCCAUACCAGGACGAAACGGCCGUUCAGUAC